GAUGAACGCUGGCGGCGUGCUUAACACAUGCAAGUCGAACGAACCUUCGGGUUAGUGGCGGACGGGUGAGUAACGCGUGGGAACCUGCCCUCAGGAGGGGGAUAACGGCUGGAAACGGCCGCUAAUACCCCAUAUGCCGAGAGGUGAAAAGAAUUUCGCCUGAGGAUGGGCCCGCGUCUGAUUAGCUAGUUGGUGGGGUAAGAGCCUACCAAGGCGACGAUCAGUAGCUGGUCUGAGAGGAUGAUCAGCCACACUGGGACUGAGACACGGCCCAGACUCCUACGGGAGGCAGCAGUGGGGAAUUUUCCGCAAUGGGCGAAAGCCUGACGGAGCAACGCCGCGUGAGGGAUGAAGGCCUCUGGGCUGUAAACCUCUUUUCUCAAGGAAGAAGAACUGACGGUACUUGAGGAAUAAGCCACGGCUAAUUCCGUGCCAGCAGCCGCGGUAAUACGGGAGUGGCAAGCGUUAUCCGGAAUUAUUGGGCGUAAAGCGUCCGCAGGCGGCCUUGUAAGUCUGUCGUUAAAGCGUGGAGCUUAACUCCAUUUCGGCGAUGGAAACUACAAGGCUUGAGUGUGGUAGGGGCAGAGGGAAUUCCCGGUGUAGCGGUGAAAUGCGUAGAUAUCGGGAAGAACACCAGUGGCGAAGGCGCUCUGCUGGGCCAUAACUGACGCUCAUGGACGAAAGCCAGGGGAGCGAAAGGGAUUAGAUACCCCUGUAGUCCUGGCCGUAAACGAUGAACACUAGGUGUCGGGGGAAUCGACCCCCUCGGUGUCGUAGCCAACGCGUUAAGUGUUCCGCCUGGGGAGUACGCACGCAAGUGUGAAACUCAAAGGAAUUGACGGGGGCCCGCACAAGCGGUGGAGUAUGUGGUUUAAUUCGAUGCAACGCGAAGAACCUUACCAGGGUUUGACAUCCUGCGAACCUCUGAGAAAUCGGGGGGUGCCUUCGGGAACGCAGAGACAGGUGGUGCAUGGCUGUCGUCAGCUCGUGUCGUGAGAUGUUGGGUUAAGUCCCGCAACGAGCGCAACCCACGUCUUUAGUUGCCAGCAUUCAGUUGGGCACUCUAGAGAGACCGCCGGUGAUAAACCGGAGGAAGGUGUGGAUGACGUCAAGUCAUCAUGCCCCUUACAUCCUGGGCUACACACGUACUACAAUGCUACGGACAAAGGGCAGCAAGCUCGCGAGAGUAAGCAAAUCCCAUAAACCGUGGCUCAGUUCAGAUCGUAGGCUGCAACUCGCCUACGUGAAGGAGGAAUCGCUAGUAAUCGCAGGUCAGCAUACUGCGGUGAAUACGUUCCCGGGCCUUGUACACACCGCCCGUCACACCAUGGAAGUUGGCCACGCCCGAAGUCGUUACUCCAACCCUUGUGGAGGAGGACGCCGAAGGUGGGGCUGAUGACUGGGGUGAAGUCGUAACAAGGUAGCCGUACCGGAAGGUGCGGCUGGAUCACCUCCUAA
RNAcentral lists this ribosomal RNA (1458 nucleotides) under Cyanobium sp. JJ2-3. RNAcentral's name for it is "bacterial SSU rRNA". It matches the Rfam family "Bacterial small subunit ribosomal RNA". The record is from RNAcentral. Lineage: Bacteria; Bacillati; Cyanobacteriota; Cyanophyceae; Synechococcales; Prochlorococcaceae.